Mya arenaria is the source of this 2104-nucleotide RNA transcript. It is a transcript of the gene named dnaJ homolog subfamily C member 7-like, with no coding region annotated. The transcript is spliced from 13 exons. The record is from RefSeq and is a predicted model, not a curated record. Lineage: Eukaryota; Metazoa; Mollusca; Bivalvia; Myida; Myidae.
CUUCUAACGGAAGCCAUCAAAUCGAAAGAACCAGUCUGCAACCUUUUUCAUGUGCUGAUUGUUUAGAGUUCAUAUAUCAAAAUGAGCGACGAAGAAAAUAACGAGGCAGAGCCAAAAAUCAUGGAAAUCGACGAACAAAUCGUCGUCCGCACUCCUGAAGAAAUGAAGGAGAUGGGAAACCAAUAUUACAAAGAGAAGAAUUAUACAGAGGCUAUCUCAUGUUACACUCAGGCAAUCAACUUGUGUCCAAACUGUGCUGCUUAUUAUGGGAACCGCUCCGCCUGUUAUAUGAUGUUAAACAAAUAUUCUGAUGCACUCGAAGAUGCUCGCAAUGCUCUCAGAAUAGACAGCACAUUUGUCAAAGGCCACCUACGAGAAGGCAAGUGUCAAAUAGUUAUGGGGGAUCCGUCAGCAGCCAUCCGCUCAUAUAACACAGCCCUUGAACUCGACCCAGAAAACAAAACUGCCCAAACAGAGUUGAGAAUGGCACAGCAAAUGCAAAACUGUGUAGAUACUUUAGAAAAGGACCUUGAAAAGAAUGAUUUUAGAAAGGCAUUGUUUGUUAUUGACCAAUGUUUAAAACAAGCCCCAGCAUGCGUGCGAUUCAAAAUCCAGCGGGCAGAGGUUCUCACCUUUCUUGGAAGAUACCAGGAAAGCCAGGAACUUGCUAAUGACGUUUUACAACGGGAAGGUAUGAACCCUGAUGCCCUGUAUGUGCGGGGUAUGUGCCUGUAUUAUCAGGACAACAUUGACAAGGCGUUCCAACAUUUCCAACAGGUGCUCCGUCUAGCCCCUGACCAUCAAAAGGCCAAAGACACUUACAAGAAAGCCAAGCAGUUGAUAUCGACAAAGGAGGAGGGAAAUAAGGAGUUCCGAUCGGGGAAGUUUAAUGAGGCUUACAACUCUUACACAGCCGCGCUGUCUAUAGACCCAAACAAUAAAUUCACCAACUCAAAACUAUACUGUAAUAGAGCCACAGUCUGUACUAAGAUUGGGAAGCUGGAGCAGUCAGUAGACGAUUGUUCUGCGGCCAUUGACCUUGACAACACCUACAUUAAGGCGUACAUGAGGAGAGCAAAGAGCUACAUGGAUUUGGAAAAGUAUGAAGAAGCUGUUAGAGACUAUGAAAAAAUAUGUCAAUUGGACAAAACCAGAGAAAAUAAGCAAUUGUUACAAAACGCUAAGCUGGAGUUAAAAAAGAGCAAAAGAAAAGACUACUACAAAAUCCUGGGUGUGCAUAAAACUGCAUCAGAGGACGAAAUCAAAAAAGCAUAUAGAAAACGAGCCCUUGUACAUCACCCAGGUAAGCGUAUAGAAAACGAGCCCUUGUACAUCACCCAGAUCGUCACUCACACGACACGCCAGAGAAACAAAAAGAGGAAGAGGUAACGUUUAAGGAAGUUGGGGAGGCAUACUCCGUCUUAUCCGACCAGAAGAAACGACAACGGUAUGACACUGGACAGGAUCUGGAGGAAAUGGACGGCUACGGGCCUGGAUUCCAUGAUUUCGACCCGAACCUAAUAUUCCAGUCUUUCUUCAGCCAGGGCGGGGGUCAGUCGUAUGGAGCAGGGGGCGGUGGAUUUCCAGGGGGAUUUUCAUUUCAAUUUGGAUAACAUGAAUCAUCCGUUGUAGUGUCCCAAAUGUUUCUGUCUGUGUUAUGUUUGAUUUACUAAGGUAUCUGAUACACAAAUACAUGUGUAUGCUAUUUUAAUGCAUGGAAAGUCCAUAUUAUUUUGAUAUAAUUUCAGUAAAUAUGAGCUAUUUGAAUAUGCACUGAAUCCAAUAACACACAUUAUAAACAUGGUCAAGUUGGCCAUUUGGUUGUUUAUUUAAAAAAAGAUUAGAUUUCUUAACUUAACAGCAAGCAAUACCCAUUCAUAUGAUGUUGAAAGUAUUUUGUUCUCUAGCUAGCAUAAACAUGUAACGGUAAGGACAAUGACUCAAUGAAAUGUCUUAUUAAUACACUAGAUACCUUAACAUUGGACAACGAGAUGGAUAAUAGGUCCAUCAAAUGUAUUGCGUGUAUACUGGAUACCUUAAAAUAUCAUGGGUCCUGCUGAAAGUAACAAUUUCUGUUUCGUUAAGACUGUGAACGUAUUGCUAU